Molecule: ribosomal RNA, 464 nt
Filed under: uncultured bacterium
Lineage: Bacteria
Description: bacterial SSU rRNA
Rfam family: Bacterial small subunit ribosomal RNA
Source: RNAcentral
GACGAACGCUGGCGGCGUGCCUAACACAUGCAAGUCGAGCGAGUUAAUCUCCUUCGGGAGUGAAACUAGCGGCGGACGGGUGAGUAACACGUGGGCAACCUACCUCAUAGAGGGGAAUAGCCUUCCGAAAGGAAGAUUAAUACCGCAUAAGAUUGUAGCUUCGCAUGAAGUAGCAAUUAAAGGAGCAAUCCGCUAUGAGAUGGGCCCGCGGCGCAUUAGCUAGUUGGUGAGGUAACGGCUCACCAAGGCGACGAUGCGUAGCCGACCUGAGAGGGUGAUCGGCCACAUUGGGACUGAGACACGGCCCAGACUCCUACGGGAGGCAGCAGUGGGGAAUAUUGCACAAUGGGGGAAACCCUGAUGCAGCAACGCCGCGUGAGUGAUGACGGCCUUCGGGUUGUAAAGCUCUGUCUUCAGGGACGAUAAUGACGGUACCUGAGGAGGAAGCCACGGCUAACUACGUG